Molecule: ribosomal RNA, 1401 nt
Filed under: Triticum aestivum (bread wheat)
Lineage: Eukaryota; Viridiplantae; Streptophyta; Magnoliopsida; Poales; Poaceae
Description: partial small subunit ribosomal RNA
Source: RNAcentral
ACCGGCAAACCACCCGGCGCCGCCGUGGCAUUGCUUCCGCCGGUGGCGAGCGGCGUUUCCGCGAUCGCGGCGUUGGGUACGCUCGUCACCAAGGGCCUCCCUGCCGUGAUACACGACCUGCACGGCGAGCUGGGCAGCGUGUUCACGGUGAGCCUCUUGGGGUUGAAGAAGGUGACGUUCCUGGUCGGGCCGGAGGUGACGGCUCACUUCUUCAAAGGCUCCGAGUCGGAGAUCAGGCAGUCGGAUAUCUACAAGAUCACCGUGCCUAUCUUCGGCCGCGGGGUCCUCUUCGACGUGGAUCUGCCGACCAGGAGCAGGCAGAUCAGCUUCCUGUCCGACGCCAUAAAGCCCGUCAACUUGAGGGGCCAUGUGGAUUCCAUGGUUCGUGAAGUGGAGGACUACUUUGGCAAAUGGGGAGAGCAUGGCACGGUGGAUCUGAAGCAGGAGCUCGGGCUGGUACUCAUGCGGAUCGCCAACCGGUGCCUGCUCGGAGAACAGAUCCGAGACAACAUGUUCGACGAAGUAACCCAUCUCCUUCACGAGCUCUUCGAAAACGGCUUGCACAUGGCCAGCCUCUUCUUCCCGUACCUCCCGAUCACACCACACCGCCGGCGCGACGCGGCCCGGGCCAAGCUGGGGGAGAUAUUCCACGAGGCCGUCAGAGCACGCAGGACCUCGGGCCGAGCCGAGAACGACGUGCUACAGAAGCUCGUGGAGUCAAGGUACGCCGACGGCCGCCCCGUGACCGAGAGCGAGAUCGCCGGGCUACUCAUCGGCAUGAUUUUCGCCGGGCAGCACACGAGCGCCAGCGCCGCUAUCUGGACAGGAGCUUGCCUGCUCAGCCAUGGAGACGGCCGCCACCUCGAGGCCGCCGUCGAGGAGCAGAGACAGAUCAUCUUUCGACACGGCAGGGAACGCGUCGACUACGACGUCCUGCGAGAGAUGGGCACCCUGCGUUGCUGCAUCAUGGAGGCGCUCAGGAUGCACGCUCCGGCGAACGUGAUCAUCCGCCAGGCGAACAAGAGCUUCGGCGUGCAAGCAAGAGAUGGCAGCAGAUACGCGAUCCCCAAGGGGCAUACCUUGGUAACCUCGCCGGCGGUGAACAACAGGCUGCCACACAUUUUCGAGGACCCUCAUGUGUAUGACCCGUCUAGGUUUGGCCCUGGGAGAGAGGAGGACAAAGUUGGCGGCAAGUUCUCGUUCACGCCCUUUAGUGCCGGGAGGCACGUUUGCUUGGGGGAGGACUAUGCUUACAUGCAGAUCAAGGUGAUAUGGAGCCAUCUGCUAAGGAACUUUGAGCUCAAGAUCGUCUCCCCUUUCCCUGACGAGGAAUGGGAGAAAUUCAUUCCAGGGCCAAGAGGCAAAGUGAUGGUUACUUACAAGAGGAGGCUGCUGGAAUGA